AGAGUUUGAUCCUGGCUCAGAUUGAACGCUGGCGGCAGGCCUAACACAUGCAAGUCGAACGGUAACAGGAAGAAGCUUGCUUCUUUGUUGACGAGUGGCGGACGGGUGAGUAAUGUCUGGGAAACUGCCUGAUGGAGGGGGAUAACUACUGGAAACGGUAGCUAAUACCGCAUAACGUCGCAAGACCAAAGAGGGGGACCUUCGGGCCUCUUGCCAUCGGAUGUGCCCAGAUGGGAUUAGCUAGUAGGUGGGGUAAAGGCUCACCUAGGCGACGAUCCCUAGCUGGUCUGAGAGGAUGACCAGCCACACUGGAACUGAGACACGGUCCAGACUCCUACGGGAGGCAGCAGUGGGGAAUAUUGCACAAUGGGCGCAAGCCUGAUGCAGCCAUGCCGCGUGUAUGAAGAAGGCCUUCGGGUUGUAAAGUACUUUCAGCGGGGAGGAAGGGAGUAAAGUUAAUACCUUUGCUCAUUGACGUUACCCGCAGAAGAAGCACCGG
RNAcentral lists this ribosomal RNA (499 nucleotides) under uncultured bacterium. Its description in RNAcentral is "bacterial SSU rRNA". It matches the Rfam family "Bacterial small subunit ribosomal RNA", at positions 8 to 496 of the family's 1533-position model. The record is from RNAcentral.